GGGUAUAUAGCUCACUGGUAGAGCACGUGCUUAGCAUGCCCGAGGUCCUAGGUUCAAUCCCCAGUACCUCCA
This 72-nucleotide transfer RNA is filed under the name Camelus bactrianus (Bactrian camel). It matches the Rfam family "tRNA". From Rfam's summary of the family: Transfer RNA (tRNA) molecules are approximately 80 nucleotides in length. The record is from Rfam by way of RNAcentral. Lineage: Eukaryota; Metazoa; Chordata; Mammalia; Artiodactyla; Camelidae. RNAcentral also lists the same sequence under 1 other name.